Long non-coding RNA from Egretta garzetta (little egret), 375 nucleotides. RefSeq lists it as uncharacterized. The record is from RefSeq and is a predicted model, not a curated record. Lineage: Eukaryota; Metazoa; Chordata; Aves; Pelecaniformes; Ardeidae. The transcript has 3 exons.
AAUCGUGGAUCGAUUGACCCUCGUAGCAGAUCCUGUAGAUGGUUGUAAAUAAUGGAAACCUAAAAGAAGUGCAUAGCAAUGAAAAUAGAAUCUUGUAGACUUCGGCCGAGGUCUGAGGUCCUUGCAGCUUUUGUCCGUUCAGCAACUCAUUUUCCAGUUCCUCAAUGGACUAGAAGAGAGGAGACUGAUUACUUGGAUCAGAGGGGAUACCGCUGCAAUACCAGCAGUUAUCAAGAAGAUUGGAAAAUUGGCACACGAACAUCUCAUCUGUGCUCACUCAUCAUAUGGUGGCAUGACUCAUGUUAGACCCUGUGGCUUACAGAAGACUCAGGUGAGGGUAGAAUUUGGCCCUAAAAAAACCAUUUUGGUUUAAAA